RNAcentral lists this ribosomal RNA (863 nucleotides) under bacterium. RNAcentral describes it as "bacterial SSU rRNA". It matches the Rfam family "Bacterial small subunit ribosomal RNA", at positions 29 to 873 of the family's 1533-position model. The record is from RNAcentral.
ACGAACGCUGGCGGCGUGCCUAAUACAUGCAAGUCGAGCGGACAGAUGGGAGCUUGCUCCCUGAUGUUAGCGGCGGACGGGUGAGUAACACGUGGGUAACCUGCCUGUAAGACUGGGAUAACUCCGGGAAACCGGGGCUAAUACCGGAUGGUUGUUUGAACCGCAUGGUUCAAACAUAAAAGGUGGCUUCGGCUACCACUUACAGAUGGACCCGCGGCGCAUUAGCUAGUUGGUGAGGUAACGGCUCACCAAGGCGACGAUGCGUAGCCGACCUGAGAGGGUGAUCGGCCACACUGGGACUGAGACACGGCCCAGACUCCUACGGGAGGCAGCAGUAGGGAAUCUUCCGCAAUGGACGAAAGUCUGACGGAGCAACGCCGCGUGAGUGAUGAAGGUUUUCGGAUCGUAAAGCUCUGUUGUUAGGGAAGAACAAGUACCGUUCGAAUAGGGCGGUACCUUGACGGUACCUAACCAGAAAGCCACGGCUAACUACGUGCCAGCAGCCGCGGUAAUACGUAGGUGGCAAGCGUUGUCCGGAAUUAUUGGGCGUAAAGGGCUCGCAGGCGGUUUCUUAAGUCUGAUGUGAAAGCCCCCGGCUCAACCGGGGAGGGUCAUUGGAAACUGGGGAACUUGAGUGCAGAAGAGGAGAGUGGAAUUCCACGUGUAGCGGUGAAAUGCGUAGAGAUGUGGAGGAACACCAGUGGCGAAGGCGACUCUCUGGUCUGUAACUGACGCUGAGGAGCGAAAGCGUGGGGAGCGAACAGGAUUAGAUACCCUGGUAGUCCACGCCGUAAACGAUGAGUGCUAAGUGUUAGGGGGUUUCCGCCCCUUAGUGCUGCAGCUAACGCAUUAAGCACUCCGCC